CUUGAUUCAUGAUGAAGAUCAGCCCCGCAUUGAUCUAUCUCUAGUUCUCAUUGUUUCAAUGUGAAAGAGAUGAAAAAUAUAUGAGAAUAAGCAAAGAGCGAAUGCAACACAAUCAUUAUUACCGAUUACAAAAAAGUUGUGUGAAGAGUGCCAUACAUUUUAUUGCGAAAUGAAGAUACCAAAGUGUUGUUCUCCACCUUACUAAUUUGAUAGAUUUAAAUAGAGUGGAGACAACUUAUUGAACUCAUAGCGCUUUUAGUCA
Molecule: non-coding RNA, 262 nt
Organism: Camellia sinensis
Lineage: Eukaryota; Viridiplantae; Streptophyta; Magnoliopsida; Ericales; Theaceae
Source: RefSeq, a predicted model, not a curated record